UAAUUGAACAAGAGAUAAUUCUAUGUAUAAAAAUAAAAUGAAACUAUGAUGAAUUAGAUUUUUCAUUUCAAAAAAAUUAGAUUUAAAUGUAUACAACUCGAUUUUUCUCGAAAACGAGGCUUCGAUUUAAAAAAAAAUAUUCUGUUUCUUUAUUCUUGCACUUAAAACUAUCUUUUAUCAAAAAUUAAUCAAAUUCAUUUUAUUAUUUAAAGAAAAAAAAGAUUUAGAAUGAACGAAUUUUAUUUUAUAUGUUCGAUAUGUACAUAGAAUUCCAUUCGAGUUAUUCUAUGCAUUCUGUUACAUCUGUAUCCGCAUCAACGAUCCUUCUCACCAUGUUCAUAUAACACGAUCGAUCACACGAGUUCCAUCAAUGGAAACAUCCACGUUUGAUCCUCUCUAUAAUAUCUCUGUCCUUCAUCGAUUCUGAACGCCUUCCCACCAGAAUCGCUCAAAUGCAUGUUCGAGAAUCGGAUAGAUUAUAGUGUGGAAUCAGGGAAGUGGAACACAUUGCGCAGACGUGGUGCGAGUAGGCAAUAUCCUCGCACGUUGUUCCGCGUUUCAAAGUCUCUCGAAUCGGAUGCGGACUGAUCGUGGCUGUAAGACAAAGCGGCUGAAACCGUGUGUGCAAUGUCGCAUCCUUGAAGGGCUGUGUAAACAAGUGGCUGUAUGUGACGCGAUUCUCCGCAGAUCUGGCUGUAACGAGCUAGAUUCCGAUAUGCACAAAGACAACACCUUCUAUUCGUUCAUAACGAGCGAGGAAAACUUGAAGAGGAAUCCGCUUCCUUUAAUGCUUCUCGCUUCGCCAUCUUCACUACACACUAAAUUCCUUGGUUAUUCUGCUGAUGGUAGAUUCGAGAUAUUCUCAGGUUUCUCUUUUGCGUCAUAGCACGUAACUUGGCACGAAAAAUAUUCGUUAUUCGUAUUAUCUUCUAUUUAUGUUUCAGUAAUUUUUUUGGAAUUCAAGUAAGACACAAAUAUGAUUGUAUAUAAUACCAUAUAAAUAUAUAUCUUUUUAUUUGUUUUUAUUAAAGAAUGUUUAGUUUGCAUUACGAAAUAAAUAUUCCUUUCUUAUAAUUAAUUUAUGUUUAUAUUUAUAUACUUUAUUAAUUUUUCUGUAUAUUUUUGUUUAGUAAAUUAAGCAAUUUUAUACGAUAUUUUAAUUUUUAAUUAAUAUUAAGAUAGAUUUAAAUUAUAUAGAUUAGAUAAAUACAAAAAAUAGAAAAGCGGAAUCUGUUAUAAUUUAUUUGAAAUAAGAAAUAUAUUUUUGUUUGAAUGUAUUUUUAUUAAUAACUAAUCUGACAAAAAAUUAAUUUUAAUAAUCCAUAAGAUUAUACUAUAAGAUUUUUCACAAAAAAUACAUAAACUUAAUAAAUAUUUAGUAAUUAACUUAAGAUGCAUAUAUUCAAAUUUUAUUGUUUUAUUUAUUAAUACUUAUCAUAAUCAAUUAAUAAGAAAGUAUAUUGUAUACAUAUACAUAUACAAUAAAGAAUAUAUACAAUAAGGAAUCAUAAAAUAGAUUCAAAAAAAAAACAACAAUAGAUAUAUAAUAAGGAAUCAUAAAAUAGAUUAAAAAAAAAAACAAAUUACAAUUUGAAUAUAACAAUUCAAAUUAUAAUUUUUUUCUUUUACAUAAACUCAAAACUUUUCAAUUUUUACUAUCAUUUAAACAAAAGAGAGGAAAAAAUAAUCCAAGAUUAAGAAUCUCGAUGCUCAAUUUACAAGAAAUUUUAACGAUAAUAAUAUCAAUGGAGAAAUACACGUAAUCGUUAAUUUCUGUCAAAACGAAUAGGUAACAACGAAAAAAAUAAAGAAAAGAUAAGGAGAGAAAAAUCUUGUUAUAUCGGGAGAGAUAAAAAUGAUUGUGAUCGCUAGCUAGACGAAAGAAAAUGGUUCGCGUUUCCAGUUAUCAAGUCAUUCGUAGAUUUGGCUGAAUUUUCUUUCCAAUGCAAUUCAGCCUCUUUUCGAAUCUUUCUUUUCUUCUAGAACUUGGAAUCCCGCAUUACUCAGCCUGAGGAGACGCUUUGACAGUAAUGAUCGAGCAACCUAGGGGACUAGGCAGUAACAGUAAAAUAAACCACUCUCAAGAGGACACGUCUCAGACGCUGAGAACAUUGGAAACGCGGGGCUAAAGAGGCGGAAAGAACAUUAGAGAUUGUGAUGGACGAGGAAAGGAGUAAGGGAAAUCGGAUUCGAACCAGGAUAGAAUACGAAAGAGGUAUCCGUGAAAUCUUAGCACCCAAGGAUUUGGCGACGACGAUUUUCGAUUGAUAAGAUUCGGCAUGGAAGACCUCAAAUUCGUGGGAUCGGAUUUUCGAUUCCGCAAUACUUAUGUUUGUGACAGUGAAAGGUUCGAGGUUCUAUAAUUCAGAGUAUUCUAAACAUAAGGAUGUCGGCGUGAAUCAGUUCAAACUUGGAUAAUAUGAAUCGAAAUAGAACUCCAAAUUCUAAUAAUAAUAAGAACUAUUUCAAGAUAAUUUCCUUCUUAGUUAAAUAGAUCUUCUUGUUAUUUUUUAAAAUAUGUACUAUUUUGAAAUACAAAUAAUAUCUUAUUUCUUG
This is a long non-coding RNA of Apis cerana (Asiatic honeybee), 2556 nucleotides long. RefSeq lists it as uncharacterized. The record is from RefSeq and is a predicted model, not a curated record. NCBI's taxonomy places the organism in Eukaryota, Metazoa, Arthropoda, Insecta, Hymenoptera, Apidae.